GAUGAACGCUGGCGGCGUGCCUAAUACAUGCAAGUCGAGCGAACGGACGAGAAGCUUGCUUCUCUGAUGUUUGCCGCACACGGGUGUGUAACACGUGGAUAACCUACCUAUAAGACGGGGAUAACUUCGGAACACCGGAGCUAAUCCCGGAUAAUAUCUUGAACCGCAUGGUUCAAAAGUGAAAGACGGCCUUGCUGUCACUUAUAGAUGGAUCCGCGCUGCAUUAGCUAGUUGGUAAGGUAACGGCUUACCAAGGCAACGAUGCAUAGCCGACCUGAGAGGGUGAUCGGCCACACUGGAACUGAGACACGGUCCAGACUCCUACGGGAGGCAGCAGUAGGGAAUCUUCCGCAAUGGGCGAAAGCCUGACGGAGCAACGCCGCGUGAGUGAUGAAGGUCUUCGGAUCGUAAAACUCUGUUAUUAGGGAAGAACAUAUGUGUAAGUAACUGUGAAGAGCUUGACGGUACCGAAUCAGAAAGCCACGGCUAACUACGUG
This 497-nucleotide ribosomal RNA is filed under the name uncultured bacterium. RNAcentral describes it as "partial 16S ribosomal RNA". It matches the Rfam family "Bacterial small subunit ribosomal RNA", at positions 28 to 507 of the family's 1533-position model. The record is from RNAcentral.